GACGAACGCUGGCGGCGUGCCUAAUACAUGCAAGUCGAGCGCAGGAAAUCGACGGAACCCUUCGGGGGGAAGUCGACGGAAUGAGCGGCGGACGGGUGAGUAACACGUAAAGAACCUGCCCUCAGGUCUGGGAUAACCACGAGAAAUCGGGGCUAAUACCGGAUGGGUCAUCGGACCGCAUGGUCCGAGGAUGAAAGGCGCUCCGGCGUCGCCUGGGGAUGGCUUUGCGGUGCAUUAGCUAGUUGGUGGGGUAAUGGCCCACCAAGGCGACGAUGCAUGGCCGACCUGAGAGGGUGAUAGGCCACACUGGGACUGGGACACGGCCGAGACUCCUACGGGAGGCAGCAGUAGGAAUCUUCCACAAUGGACGAAAGUCUGAUGGAGCAACGCCGCGUGAACGAUGAAGGCCUUCGGGUCGUAAAGUUCUGUUGUAAGGGAAGAACAAGUGCCGCAGGCAAUGGCGGCACCUUGACGGUACCUUGCGAGAAAGCCACGGCUAACUACGUGCCAGCCGCCGCAGUAA
This 523-nucleotide ribosomal RNA is filed under the name uncultured bacterium. RNAcentral describes it as "partial 16S ribosomal RNA". It matches the Rfam family "Bacterial small subunit ribosomal RNA", at positions 28 to 523 of the family's 1533-position model. The record is from RNAcentral.